RNAcentral lists this transfer RNA (75 nucleotides) under bacterium ADurb.Bin363. Its description in RNAcentral is "tRNA-Ala". It matches the Rfam family "tRNA". Rfam says of the family: Transfer RNA (tRNA) molecules are approximately 80 nucleotides in length. The record is from RNAcentral.
UGGGGCUGUAGCACAGUUGGAAGAGCGCUUGCAUGGCAUGCAAGAGGUCAGGGGUUCGACUCCCCUCAGCUCCAU